UAAGCAUAUCAAUAAGCGGAGGAAAAGAAACCAACAGGGAUUGCCCCAGUAACGGCGAGUGAAGCGGCAACAGCUCAAAUUUGAAAUCUGGCCCCAGGCCCGAGUUGUAAUUUGCAGAGGAUGCUUUUGGCGCGGUGCCUUCCGAGUUCCCUGGAACGGGACGCCAUAGAGGGUGAGAGCCCCGUACGGUUGGACACCAAGCCUUUGUAAAGCUCCUUCGACGAGUCGAGUAGUUUGGGAAUGCUGCUCAAAAUGGGAGGUAUAUUUCUUCUAAAGCUAAAUAUAGGCCAGAGACCGAUAGCGCACAAGUAGAGUGAUCGAAAGAUGAAAAGCACUUUGAAAAGAGGGUUAAACAGCACGUGAAAUUGUUAAAAGGGAAGCGCUUGUGACCAGACUUGCGUCCGGUGAAUCACCCAGCUCUCGCGGCUGGGGCACUUCGCCGGCACAGGCCAGCAUCAGCUUGCCGUCGGGGACAAAAGCUUCAGGAACGUAGCUCUCUUCGGGGAGUGUUAUAGCCUGUUGCAUAAUACCCUUCGGCGGGCUGAGGUACGCGCUCCGCAAGGAUGCUGGCGUAAUGGUCAUCAGCGACCCGUCUUGAAACACGGACCAAGGAGUCAACCUUAUGUGCGAGUGUUUGGGUGUUAAACCCCUACGCGUAAUGAAAGUGAACGCAGGUGAGAGCUUCGGCGCAUCAUCGACCGAUCCUGAUGUUCUCGGAUGGAUUUGAGUAAGAGCAUAUAGGGUUGGACCCGAAAGAAGGUGAACUAUGCGUGUGUAGGGUGAAGCCAGAGGAAACUCUGGUGGAGGCUCGCAGCGGUUCUGACGUGCAAAUCGAUCGUCAAACAUGCGCAUGGGGGCGAAAGA
This 864-nucleotide ribosomal RNA is filed under the name Colletotrichum utrechtense. RNAcentral describes it as "LSU rRNA". It matches the Rfam family "Eukaryotic large subunit ribosomal RNA", at positions 35 to 930 of the family's 3401-position model. Lineage: Eukaryota; Fungi; Ascomycota; Sordariomycetes; Glomerellales; Glomerellaceae. The record is from RNAcentral.